AGUGAACGCUGGCGGUAGGCCUAACACAUGCAAGUCGAACGGCAGCACAGUAAGAGCUUGCUCUUACGGGUGGCGAGUGGCGGACGGGUGAGGAAUACAUCGGAAUCUACUUUUUCGUGGGGGAUAACGUAGGGAAACUUACGCUAAUACCGCAUACGACCUACGGGUGAAAGCAUGGGAUCUUCGGACCUUGCGCGAUUGAAUGAGCCGAUGUCGGAUUAGCUAGUUGGCGGGGUAAAGGCCCACCAAGGCGACGAUCCGUAGCUGGUCUGAGAGGAUGAUCAGCCACACUGGAACUGAGACACGGUCCAGACUCCUACGGGAGGCAGCAGUGGGGAAUAUUGGACAAUGGGCGCAAGCCUGAUCCAGCCAUACCGCGUGAGUGAAGAAGGCCUUCGGGUUGUAAAGCCCUUUUGUUGGGAAAGAAAAGCAGCAGGUUAAUACCGCGCUGUUCUGACGGUACCCAACGAAUAAGCACCGGCUAACUUCGUG
Molecule: ribosomal RNA, 492 nt
Filed under: uncultured bacterium
Lineage: Bacteria
Description: partial 16S ribosomal RNA
Rfam family: Bacterial small subunit ribosomal RNA
Source: RNAcentral